Molecule: ribosomal RNA, 546 nt
Filed under: uncultured bacterium
Lineage: Bacteria
Description: partial 16S ribosomal RNA
Rfam family: Bacterial small subunit ribosomal RNA
Source: RNAcentral
UGGGGAAUUUUGGACAAUGGGCGAAAGCCUGAUCCAGCAAUGCCGCGUGUGUGAAGAAGGCCUUCGGGUUGUAAAGCACUUUUGUCCGGAAAGAAAUCCUUGGCUCUAAUACAGUCGGGGGAUGACGGUACCGGAAGAAUAAGCACCGGCUAACUACGUGCCAGCAGCCGCGGUAAUACGUAGGGUGCAAGCGUUAAUCGGAAUUACUGGGCGUAAGCGUGCGCAGGCGGUUUGCUAAGACCGAUGUGAAAUCCCCGGGCUCAACCUGGGAACUGCAUUGGUGACUGGCAGGCUAGAGUAUGGCAGAGGGGGGUAGAAUUCCACGUGUAGCAGUGAAAUGCGUAGAGAUGUGGAGGAAUACCGAUGGCGAAGGCAGCCCCCUGGGCCAAUACUGACGCUCAUGCACGAAAGCGUGGGGAGCAAACAGGAUUAGAUACCCUGGUAGUCCACGCCCUAAACGAUGUCAACUAGUUGUUGGGGAUUCAUUUCCUUAGUAACGUAGCUAACGCGUGAAGUUGACCGCCUGGGGAGUACGGUCGCAAGAUU